This 7378-nucleotide unclassified non-coding RNA is filed under the name Leishmania donovani. RNAcentral's name for it is "gene:LdHU3.20.1390(CDS-product:hypothetical_prote in_conserved)". Lineage: Eukaryota; Euglenozoa; Kinetoplastea; Trypanosomatida; Trypanosomatidae. The record is from RNAcentral.
UUCGGUAGUGCACUAAGCGGCCUCGCGUCGACCCACACGAGCGCGCACGUACACAGACGCCCCUCUCUCUCUGCAAUCAUCACACACUGACGUGCGGGUAUCAUCGUCAAGAGAAGAGGCUACCACCCAUACACCGCCUCUUUAUUUCUCGCAACUAUCUCGUAUUCAUCUCUCUGGCCGUGACUAGACUCACGUAAGUGCGUGGGGUGCGACUGAGUGCUCCUCCGCUGCCACUUCUCGGCGUGUGUGCUGGCGCGCGUCUCUUUCUUUCCCUGUUGCUGUGUCUGAGCGGUGGACCCCCCCCUUUGUGCAGCUCACUCACUCGCACGCUCGCUCUCGUCAAGUGCCUCGGCCGCCCUUCUCCUUUCCCUUUGCUUAUAGAGUCCUUCUCCGUUUUCUUUUCGAUCGUCUCCUUUUCUCCUGCGCCCUGUUAUCCCCUUCCCCUCCCCACUCCAUCCACCGAGCCAUCCACUCGCCGCAACGAUGGACACAACGACAGACUACAACACUAUCCUGCACCGAAAAGACAAGGUGACGCAGAAAGUCGUGGACGUCGCAGCUGCAGGGAUGCAACCCACCGCCGAGGAGAAGAGUGCCGCCACGGCCUUCGACGGCGAUGGCAACACUACUGUCGAGCGUGAGUCUCUCGAAGCCACGGACGAGGAGGAGACGACCAACACCUACGACGAGCCGCAGGCAGGCAAGCGAAAGUCGUCUGAGUCGAGCAGCAGCAGCACCACAGUGAGCGGCAGCAGCUCGGUCUCGCGCUCGGAGACUGGUUCCCCGAAGGAUGCCGCAGGCGCCCUGCUCACCGGUGGCCACGGCGCUUCGGGCGACGGGACAGUGCAGGUUGUGAUGUAUGCGAAGCGUGUGACAUACUCGUACAAAGAAUCUCAGCCCUUCCUGAACGCAACCACGCCGCCGAGCAUCACGGCAGGACAGGAGCAGUGCCCGACUACGUCUGCAAACACGAGCGCCGCCUUCCCUGAAGGCGUUUCUCAUCUUCUGGAGCCGGCCAUGCCAACGCCACCGCGCAGCAACUUCGUUGGUGGUCCCGGUGGUCCAGGUCGCUCCGGGCCUCGCGGCGUGGCAGCGUACAUGCAGCUCUCCCCUCCCCCCUCUGCUCCACAGACAACCGGCGCGAGCGCGUUAUACCCCUUCUCCAACAGUUACGCGGUUCCGCCGAGCACCGCCGUCAACGCUCCGUCGUUCUCGACCGCCUACCCCAAUAGCACCAGCGCCGGCGCAGGAUACUCUGCUGCGUACGCGACUGAGCAGGCACCGUACGACGAUUUCACAGGCGGACUCGCAACUCACGCGGCUGGCCCGUCCGCCGCUGUUGACCCCUCGCGGAAGCACACCGAGAAGGAGCCCGCACGGCGGAAGCGUCGCUGGGGCGCCGCUGCAGACGCGGACGAGAACCAGCCGCGCCGCAGCCGCCGUAUCCACAUACAGGACGAAGCCGUGGAGGAGGACGAGGAGUACGCGGACGAGGAGGGCGAGGGCUCGCAUGAGGCGUACACCGGCAGCAGCUACUCGGACGAAGAAGGCAGCUACAGUUACAGUGGAAACGAGGAGGACUAUGAGUACUACGAAGAGUUCUACGAGGAGGAGGUAGAGGAGGAUGAGGAGGAUGAGGAGGAACCGCGCAUCGACAUUAUCGAGGGCAGCGGCCACGGUAACACGCUGCACGAUAUCCUUUACGGUACCCCAAAGGCUGGCGCGAACGCGAACGGGAACUACAGCAGAGACCUCCGCGAGUCCGUGCGGUUAGACAGUCCCUACCACACGCCGACGGAGGACAAGCAGGAGCCCCCUCGCUACGGCCACCUACACCCGCGUCACGACGGCGAGGAAGACGAAAAAGAGGGCCGCCUCCGCUCCACAUCUGCCCACUCGUGGGAGGCCGCAGCUAAAGUGGCGGCGGCGCACCGUCGUUCUGCGACGCCGGAGCGCGUGAGUCGGCAUCACCACCACCACAAGAAGUCAGCCAAGGGCUACGAGGGAACAGACAGCGAGGAUGGCGAGAAUCACCACCACUCCGCUGCUGGUGCCGGCAAGAAGCACAGGAAAAGCGUGUAUGAGCACGGCGAGCCCUACACGGAGGGCACCUUCAAGGUCAAGGGCAGGAGGAGCAAGAAGGACAAGGCGGGAGGCCACUACGGAGCCAUGACGGAUCUCGACGACAUUAUGGAGCAGAGCACGGCCGACUCGGGCAGCGCAAGCAACGAAGCGCCACAUGAACCGGCUGGCAAGGACAGCCGGGCAGCCUUCCGCCCGUUGGGCUCUAGCGACACCGAGGAUGUCGAUGACUUCACCGCCCCUUCCAGAAGUCUCUCGCGCAACCGCAAGAAUCGGCAGCUCGCCAAGGAAGUGAAUGAAGAGGACCGUCUCCACCACCGCAGCGGUGCCGAGAGCAUGAAGGCGACAAGGACCACGAAGUUGGACGCCAAGGACGGCGGCAAGGUGAUUAGGGAGGAGGAGCCUAUCAACACGCCGUCGCAGCAGAAGCGCGCGGGUGCGGGCGACGAGGCUUCGGGUUCGACGGAGCAUGAGGACGAAGGUAGCUCGUCAGACAGGGGCGCGAAGAGGGAGGACAGGAAGAAGCCCAAGGGUGGCCUCCUCAUUAAGUGUGCCUGCUGCUCAAAGGAGAAAAACACCGACGCCAAGGCCAGCGGGAAGGAGAACGAGGAUGAGGCGCUCAAGGGUGGCCUCCUCAUUAAGUGUGCCUGCUGCUCAAAGAAGAAGGAGAGUGACGCCAUGGCCAACGGGAAGGAGAGCAAGACGAAGUCCAAGUGUUGCCUCUCCAGCAAGUGUCGCUGCUGCUCGAAAAAGAAGGACAGCGACGCCAUGGCCAACGGGAAGGAGAGCAAGACGAAGUCCAAGUGUUGCCUCUCCAGCAAGUGCCGCUGCUGCUCGAAAAAGGACAGCGACGCCAAGGCCAAAGAAAAGGAAGACAAGAAGCCCAAGCGUGGCCUUAUCAUUACUUGUAGCUGCUGCUCGAAGGAGAAGGGCAGCGACGUCAAGGCCAGCGAGAAGAAGCCCAAGGAUUCCAUCCUCUUUAACUGUGUCUGCUGCUCAAAGAAGGACAGCGGCGCCAAGGACAGGAAGGACAAGAAGCCCAAGGGCGGUAGCGGUGGCAUUUUCAGCUGUCUCUUCGCCAUGUGCAGCGGCAAGAAGAGUACCAAGGAUCAGGUGGCGGACAAGAAGGGCAAGGAAACCGACGAGGAGGAAGAGAAUUCCGACGCGGCAGCCCCAUCCAAGUGUCUCACCACGUCCCCUGUCGAGAGUCCAGUAUAUCGUCAGCUCAGUAGCCGGCAGUUGAACCGGAAGAGUGACAAGAAGGUAGACAGGGCGUUCAAGGUUUCCAAGUCACGGCAGGCGAAGCAGCAGGAGGAAGAGGAAGAAGUCACCGCUGAAACAUCAAAGUCUGCGUCCUCGGUCUCGUCAGCGGCGAUGACAGGCGAGUUUGAAGACCGAAGCGAGGACAGUGCCUCGUUCCCUCCAAAGAACGCGAAGCGCGGCGGCACUCAAGCCCUGUCUGAUAGCGCUCGUGUUGCAGCAGCCGCGUUGAGUCAAGAAGAAUCUGAGAGCGAGGCGAGUGCACCGGUCAGCAAGAAGGCAUCGUAUCAGCUGACCCCGAGGCCCUCGCCACGCUCGGCUGGUCAGGUUCACCGUCGGCACAGUCGCACUGGGUCCGCGAGGGUGCAGAGAGGCACUGCCGCAUCCUUCACUGAUCACUCGCGCUUUCACACAAAGCCGGAGAACCCCGGUGUUGUGAUUCCUGUGGACGUGAGUGAUGUCGACGAGAGCGACGAGUCGAGCGUCUCGAACUCGGCCAAGGCGCAGCAAAAGCGAAGUCACCGCCAUCGCCAAACACGAGUCGUCGAGUAUCGAAACAAACACAGAAGAGAGAGGAGCAGUCAGCGCAAAAGGGCUGAGAGCAGCCGCGCCGACAGAGCUAUGCUGCUCAAUGAGAAGCCGAAGAAUAGAUCCUCGUCCAGUGCGGGUGGGAAGCGGUCAUUCUCAGCAUCGUGAAAGCUCAAGGGCGCGCAGCAGCACGUGGGAUGGCGUCGAUUGGUCACCGAAGACCGGCCUGCAGGCGACGUUCGACGCUGCCCUUUUUUUUUGGACCGGAGGGAAAAGUGGGGACUGACUUGACGGGGACAGGUGCAGGAAGCGCUGCCUUCGCUCUUUGUUCUUUGGUCGCUCGUUCUUUCUUGUGCUGUGGUGGACGGUGCUGCUCUCACGCAUACACAUGUUAUGUGUGUGUGUGGGCGCGCUAUGUCAUCGGCCCUUGUUGCUCCCUUCUAUUCUCAUUCUCAUCUCUCCAUUGGUCCCUCCCCCCUCCCCAUCCCUUCAUCCUCCACCUCAUUCACUUGUACGGAAGCGCGUCGCUUCCUCCUUUAUAUAUCUCUCUCUGUUUUUUUUUCUACUGUCACAGUUGUUUGCCUGGUUUGUGUAUGCCUUUGUACAUGGAGCCCGUAAUGCUGUUUAUGCCAUCUCGGCUUGUGCGUCCAUGCUUACCGUGUUGAACGCGCUCCUGUGACGCACAUGUGAGCAUGUCGAAUGCACCCACACGCGCAGCCCUUGGCCGUCACCACCAUCCCCGGCAGAGAGGCACAAGGGCCAUGCAACACUGGAGAGGCAAUGAUAGGAAUAGAGCGCCUUCAUGUGUGUGCGUGUGCACGCUGUUGCUGCUGCUGCUGCUGCUGCUCUGUUCGCCUCCCUCCCCCCCUCUCCACCCCCCCUCUGCCUCCCACGCAAGCACGUACACGCACACACACAUAUAUGCGUGCAUAAUGCUGAGUGAUUUCUCCUUUUUUAUUUCCCUUUUGGUUGUCCAAAUCUAUCUUCAAUGUCCACCCCCUCCCCUCCCUUCCAUCUCUAUCAUCUGUCUUCACCACAUGUCUGUUACGAGUAGAGGUGGAGAGGAGGAAGAGGGGGAAUGGGGAUGUUGAGAGAAAGACGAUUGGCGCUGCGUGGCCCCUCGGACUCUUUUCUUCCUCGUUUUUUUUUCUUUUCCGGCGCCGCCCUCCUCACACACACACACACACACACACCGUCGUUUGCCGCCCAAACAGCCCCCAUCACCGCCACACCCUCAUCAUAUUCCACCCCACCCCACCCCAGCCACCAGCCACCAACCACCCGCUCACCUUCUACUCCAGAGGGAAGCCAAGUGGGAAGGACAGGGUAAAGGGGAGGAGGGGCAGGCAAGCAUCCCAUCGGUCACCUCCAGCGCUGUGUCUGAUAUAUGUAUACACAUACCACUGGCGUGUAUUCAUUGUCACUCGAUCGCCGUUUUUCGUGUGAUUUCGCUUCUUUUCUUCUUCUCUUGGUGCCCCUCCCCCUCUUCCCCCUCCUCCUCCUUUACCGUCCGCAUCGCCGUUUACCUUUUCGCUAUCUCUUCUGGCACACCUUUAUACACACAGCGACGAUUCUUUUUUGUUGUUGUUUCUGUGUUGUUGUGCUGACGAUAUCGCCUGCAAUUCUUGUGGUUCUUUGGCUGUGUGCCGUGAUUCCUAUCACGCCCUCGCUCACCCUCUUCAUCCGCCCCCCCCGUGUUGGUCCUUCUCUCUUCAGCACCUCUCUUUGUUUGUGUGCUUGGUCUUUUGUCUUGCGCUGAUGAUGAUGCUCUUUCUACGUUGUGCUGAGGAGGCAGAUUUUCGUGGCGUAGUCGUCGUGUUGAACGUAUUGUGUGUAUGCACUAAAAAGCGUGGCUAGAGUUUGUAUACGUGUUUGUUUCUCUUCUUCCUGUACCUCUUUCCGUGCUCUCUUCCUUUAUUAUUGUUUUGCAUGGGUGUGCGCGUGCGUGUGUGUGUGCGCGCGCGCAUGCCUCUUUUGAUGGGUCACACACAAGCACAUGCACACACACUCGCCACCACAGCCUCGAUCAUAACUAGCACCACCCCUUUCCGCAUUUAUUUUCUCUUCGCGCCCUCUUACGGUAUACCGCAGAGUGAGGAGUGAGAUUCGAUCUCCGAGCUCCGUUUUCUUUUUCCUCUCGUCAUUGUUUCUUUGCAUAGGUGGCGCGGUACGUGAUGUCACUCCUAAUGUGGAUCCCUCAUAACCCCAAAAGCACCGCAGCAUAGCUCUACCUGUUGUUGGUUGUUGUUUUGUGUGUGUGUGUGUGUGUGUGUGUGUGCGUGUGUACGUCCCUUUCCCGCAACGCUGUGCGCACACGACUACACAUGUGAGUCUCUGUACGCGUCCCAGCUGCUUGCUUUCUUAGAUUCACCUGGACUCACUUUCCUUUCAAGGGUUUGGGAGGGUGUGCGGGAGGGGGACUUUUCUCUCUCCGCGUGUUCAUUCUGCGAUAGAGCAUGAGUUGAAUUUCGCUCGACCCCCUCCCCUCUCUAAACCACCGGCUUUCCACAGUCCCCACAUCGCGUGGCGCGAAGCAGGGGUGGGCACGCGCUAGAGUGCUGCGCCGACUCAGUCGUCGGAGAGCACGGUCCCCUGCCUCGGACUCUACCCACACACCUCUCGCUCCGCAGGUCGCCUCACCGCCGCUCCCGCAUCAUGCCGGUCGCUGCCUGGUGCAUCCUCCCCUCGGGGUGCCUCAGGCCUCCCCCACACCGCUGUAGGCAGCGCGAGGGCCGGGGGUGGGAUAUGCGCUCGCGUCACGCUGACGCUCUGCCUGUCACGUGGAUGGCGCAGACGUGUACGCUGACCCACUGUCGCAGGUCGCUCCAACGCAACGCCAUCCAGGGCCUGGCCGUGUCACCACUAGAGGUGGUUCUGCAUCCGGCAGGGGAUAGGGCUGGGGAGGGCUGCUUGGCUUCACCACACAGUGCGUGGGUAGUGGACCCUGAGAUACGGCGCACUGAGCGGUGUCCACACGUCAUCAAAGACAUGCUUAUGGAUGGACUGAGCAAGCGCGGGCCUGCAUGCGCUUGUGGGUGUGCCGAUUUGUGGUGGUGCUGUCCUUUGUUUUCUUCGUUCUCCCACCGGGCGUGACUUUUCUGUUAUUGUGGGUUUUUCUUGUUCUUUACCCCGUUUGGCCUUUUUUGCUUGUAGGUUUGAUAGAGAUGCCGCGACCCGGCAACCGCUGCCAGUCCUUGAUGGUGCCCCUCCCCCUCUCCCAAGCACCACCACCAACAUCACCUCGAUCCCCACUGUCCACCUCUCUCUCUUUCCACGCAUGGGUCCAAGGCUUCGAUCCCUCAUCCAUCUCAGCACGCGCACACGCACAAGCAAAGGUACACACAAGCGAUAGUGCCUCUUGUCGGCUUCGCUUGCCACAGCCGUGCACGGCGAUGUGUGCUCAUGUGGCUGUGAUGUCUUCGAAAGCCUCAUCGCCCCUCUCCCUCCCUGUCGUCUAUUAGAACUCCCCUAACAAACUUAGCAGCGUUUCGAGAGAGAAAGAGAAAAC